This 318-nucleotide long non-coding RNA is filed under the name Homo sapiens (human). RNAcentral describes it as "HSALNT0314888". The record is from RNAcentral. Lineage: Eukaryota; Metazoa; Chordata; Mammalia; Primates; Hominidae.
CCUACCAGAAGGAAGAAACUCCAAACACAUCUGAACAUCAGAAGGAACAAACUCCGGACACGCCGCCUUUAAGAACUCUAACACUCACCGCUAGGAUCCGCGGCUUCAUUCUUGAAGUCAGAUGAAGAGAUUGAAAAGUUAAGGAACAUGCACCAGGCAAGCAGCAAAGACUGCCCUUUUCCAUGAUUUUAUCCACUUCUUCCACUCCGCCUGAAACCUGUCUGCCUGAGCCCUGCCGAGACCCAGGCCCAGUUUUCUGUCUCGGAUUACUUCAGAGUUUGGCUUGGGCCUUUUCUUCAGGAAUCAUGCUGUGACUCG